This 75-nucleotide transfer RNA is filed under the name Candidatus Altimarinota bacterium. Its description in RNAcentral is "tRNA-Trp". It matches the Rfam family "tRNA". Rfam says of the family: Transfer RNA (tRNA) molecules are approximately 80 nucleotides in length. The record is from RNAcentral. Lineage: Bacteria; Candidatus Altimarinota.
AUCUCCAUAGUUUAUCGGUUAGAAUUCAGGAUUCCAAAUCCUGCGGGCUAGGUUCGACUCCUAGUGGGGAUGCCA